CCAACGCGUUGGGAGCUCUCCCAUAUGGUCGACCUGCAGGCGGCCGCGAAUUCACUAGUGAUUAGAGUUUGAUCAUGGCUCAGAGCGAACGCUGGCGGCAGUCUUAAUACAUGCAAGGCGAACGGGCCUUCGGGAUAGUGGCGGACGGGUGAGUAACACGUGGGAACGUACCCUUAGGUUCGGAACAACACAGGGAAACUUGUGCUAAUACCGGAUAAGCCCUUCGGGGGAAAGAUUUAUCGCCUUUGGAGCGGCCCGCGUCUGAUUAGCUUGUUGGUGAGGUAAUGGCUCACCAAGGCUACGAUCAGUAGCUGGUCUGAGAGGAUGGCCAGCCACACUGGGACUGAGACACGGCCCAGACUCCUACGGGAGGCAGCAGUGGGGAAUCUUGCGCAAUGGGCGAAAGCCUGACGCAGCCAUGCCGCGUGGAUGAUGAAGGUCUUAGGAUUGUAAAAUCCUUUCACCGGGGACGAUAAUGACGGUCCCCGGAGAAGAAGUCCCGGCUAACUUCGUGCCAGCAGCCGCGGUAAUACGAAUCGAAUUCCCGCGGCCGCCAUGGCGGCCGGAAGCAUGCGAC
Molecule: ribosomal RNA, 577 nt
Filed under: uncultured Alphaproteobacteria bacterium
Lineage: Bacteria; Pseudomonadati; Pseudomonadota; Alphaproteobacteria
Description: bacterial SSU rRNA
Rfam family: Bacterial small subunit ribosomal RNA
Source: RNAcentral